This 561-nucleotide small RNA is filed under the name Pongo abelii (Sumatran orangutan). Its description in RNAcentral is "processed transcript". The record is from RNAcentral. Lineage: Eukaryota; Metazoa; Chordata; Mammalia; Primates; Hominidae.
ACGUUCUCGAAGAUGCUCUUCCUCCUCUUCGUCAUCAUCUUCCUCUUCGUCUUCCUCAUCCUCAUCCAGUUCUCGAAGCCGCUCCCGCUCCCCAUCCCCCCGCCGGAGAAGUGACAGGAGGCGGCGGUGAGCAUGUGUUCAGGGAGCGCCAUGCACUUGGGAUGCAGGUGCCUAAGAGUUGAGUCUUGAAUUGUCUUAUGUUUGGGGGGCUGAUGACACCGUCUUUUGUCAGGUACAGCUCUUAUCGUUCACAUGACCAUUACCAAAGGCAAAGAGUGCUGCAAAAGGAGCGUGCAAUAGAAGAAAGAAGGGUGGUCUUCAUUGGAAAGAUACCUGGCCGUAUGACUCGAUCAGAGCUGAAACAGAGGUUCUCCGUUUUUGGAGAGAUUGAGGAGUGCACCAUCCACUUCCGUGUCCAAGGGGACAACUACGGCUUCGUCACUUAUCGCUAUGCUGAGGAGGCAUUUGCAGCCAUUGAGAGUGGCCACAAGCUGCGGCAGGCAGAUGAGCAGCCCUUUGAUCUCUGCUUUGGGGGCCGAAGGCAAUUCUGCAAGAGGAGCU